This 262-nucleotide long non-coding RNA is filed under the name Brachypodium distachyon (stiff brome). RNAcentral's name for it is "long non-coding RNA (BDIS_LNC006026)". The record is from RNAcentral. Lineage: Eukaryota; Viridiplantae; Streptophyta; Magnoliopsida; Poales; Poaceae.
GCGGCGGGCGCGCGCGUGGACCGGUCCGGUUCGGGCGUGGUCGGCCGGUUCGCGGCUUAGCGGGCCGGCCCAGUGGGUCGGUCCGUCCUAAUUUUUUUCUUUAACCUUUUCUUUUUCUGUUUUUCUCAUUUCUUUGAUAUCUUUUGAUUUUGAACUCCAAAUUGAUCCAAAGAAAUUCCAGAAAAUUUGUAAAAUCAUGUUUUACUAUGAUUCAACUUUUGGGAGUAGCUUCCCCUGAAAAUAAAAUAUAUAAAAAUACAUU